RNAcentral lists this ribosomal RNA (737 nucleotides) under uncultured bacterium. Its description in RNAcentral is "bacterial SSU rRNA". The stretch from base 102 to 737 matches the Rfam family "Bacterial small subunit ribosomal RNA", at positions 875 to 1499 of the family's 1533-position model. The record is from RNAcentral.
UCCCCCGCUGGUAAAAACGGCAUGGAUUUCCUCCGGGUAUUGGCACUUUCUGUCUCAAGUGCCCCAAGCCGAAAAGUCGGAUACAGUUAAAUCCAACCUGGGGGGAGUACGGGUCCGGCAAAGGUGGAAAAUCUUCAAAAGGGAAAUUGGACCGGGCGCCCGCACCAAGCGGGUGGAAGCCAUGUGGGUUUAAAUUUCGAUGAUACCGCGAGGAACCUUCCCAGCGCCUUAAAAUGCAGAACGACAGAGGUGGAAACACCUCCUUCUUUCGGACGGUCUGCAAGGUGCUGCAUGGUUGUCGUCAGCUCGUGCUGUGAAGUGUCGGGUUAAGUCCCAUAACGAGCGCAACCCCUAUUUCUAGUUGGCCAGCGGUUCGGCCGGGGACUCUAGAGAAACUGCCAGCGUAAGCUGUGAGGAAGGUGGGCAUGACGUCAAAUCAUCACGGCCCUUACGUCCUGGGCUACACACGUGCUACAAUGGUAGGGACAGAGAGUUGCCAACCCGCGAGGGUGAGCUAAUCUUCAAACCCUAUCUCAGUUCGGAUCGGAGUCUGCAACUCGACUCCGUGAAGUUGGAAUCGCUAGUAAUCGCAUAUCAGCCAUGAUGCGGUGAAUACGUUCCCGGGCCUUGUACACACCGCCCGUCAAGCCAUGGAAGCUGGGGGCGCCUGAAGUCGGUCACCGUAAGGAGCUGCCUAGGGCGAAACUAGUAACUGGGGCUAAGUCGUAACAAGGUAA